AAUAUAUAGGACAUACACCAACAGUCCAUAAAAUAUGCAGAAAGACCAUAAUACUAUUCUGAUAGUCGAAUUGAACUCCUUGUUCGGUUGCCGUUCUCUGCUCUUUUCCCGUGGUGUCUGAAUAUGAAUUGCAAAAUAAGAUAAACGCAAAUAUCGAAUAGAAAUAUUUUGAUAUAAUCGAUGAAGUUUAUUGUUAAAGUAUAUAAUUUCCCAUAUUAUAUACGAUAAUGAUAGUAAUCGUGGCUAUACCACUGACUAUAUGUUCUCGGUUGACCUAUUCUACUUUGACGAAGUGACGGAAAUCAUGGGAAGGAUAGGUACACGUCCCUUGUAUACCCCUUCCACUGAUGGAUUUAGUAGUAGAGGAUGCGUUAAGCGAGACACUGUUUACUUAUUCUCAUUCUGUCAACUACCCAGAAUAGUUUUUUAUUUUAUGUGCUUUUCAGCGAAAUCAUAUUUUUUAAAAUUUUCAUUUAUAUUAUUGUUACGUGGGAUUUAUUUCAAAGAGUAUUUCCAUUUAAAUUCUAAAAUACCAAAAUAUCAACGCGUGGAUAUUGUAGCUGCACAAAAUUGAAAAUUUACUUCAUUUAAAAUAAUUAGUGAAUUAAUUGAGGACAUAAUUUCACUGUUAUUGGGAAACUAAAGUCCUUACCUUCUAACUUUUUAUAUAUGCAAAUGUAUUAGUACAAUGUGAGAAGCUAUAUUGGUAUUAUCAUUUAAAAUAGGAAAAUUCUUGUCUUCUUUAGUAUACUAAAACGUCCAUGGACUAAACAGGAUUCUAAUUGAAGAAACAUGUAAGUUUAACUAUCGUUACAGGUCUUCAAAUUUCGCUCUUUUCAUCCACAAAGAUCUAUUUUCUUCAAUUUUCCCUUCAAAAAUCAAGCAAGCAACUUCUACAUAGACUCGACCACUCUACUGGCCAAUCUCCUUUCCACUUACAACCUUUUACCAAACAUCAUUUUUCACAUUUUCAGAAAUCAAGUCCGUGAACUCUCAAGGAUACAUGUAAUCCAACAAAUGCAACCUUCUUUCAUCAAGAUCCAAUUCACUCUUCCGUUGUAUCUUCAUCUUCGCCUACACACUUUCGACCAGGUAGACUCGUCCUUGGCGGAAGGGUGGUAUCGGCCAUGCGGAAACGAGCCACGUGUCGUUAAGCAGCGCGUGCUCGUGAUACAUGGUUCCGCGAAACUCGGUCGCCCGGAGACCGAGGCUCGAAGGGCGUAGGUUGGCCGGAUUUCGCUUGGAGGGUCCGAUUGUACUCGGUGUCUCGUAAUUAGUGGGGUGCGUAGCAACGCGUGCUUCACCGUCAUUACGUCACAAACCUCGAUACAGACAUGGAUCACGAUUCCUUUGCGAGACACGUUGUGUGCUCGAGCUCGGUAUAAUGACGUCACUUCGUUCAUUUUGCCCGGAUCUUCUCUUCCAUUCUGUUGAUUCGGUCCGACGUCGAGCUCUCACACCUUCGAACUCGAUUCGUUCUGCCAGACCUUAUUACGUGCCGUGUCCUCACGGACUUUGCCUCGCAACUCGGAACACCAAAGUAUGCAUGUUUCCUUGAGAUUGAAGCCGGGGAUGAACCCUCGUUUUUGUCAGGAAUUUCUCGUGGAUUUUCUCUGCUCGUCUCUUGGAUUGCAUUCCCUUCGAGGUGGAAUUUGAAUGAAACGAAUAUCGCUGCUAAGUUUGUUUCGGUUUCCAGGUGAUUUUGAUGUUUCCAAAGAAAUAUAUAAGGACUUGGUGAUACGCAGUUCAUUGCUGAUAGUUUCUAAUUUUGGAGAAUUUGAUAGGAAUUAUUGACAGGAAUGAAAUGGAAUUUAUUUGGGGAUUGCGUCAAAUGCUAAAUAUUAAACUUAAAGCGAAGGACACUUAAGAUGAAAUUACAAAAACUUACUCUAAUCAAAUGUAUUUCAUUCUAUCUCUUAUAGGAGAUUUUAUAUAAGUAGUAUAUGUAAUAUAUUAUUUCAAUGUGUUUUCUAGGAAGAUUAUUUUUUAAUUUAGUGCUAUUGAAUAUUUGAAAUCAAACAACGAUUAUUAUACGAACAUAAGAGGUUUCAUACUGUUUCACAAGUUUCUUGCCAGUAAUAGUUGUUUCAGAUAUGUACUGUUUCUUUGAAUACAGAGAGUAUGCACAUCAUAUCUCGUUGGAGAUUAUUUUAUGUUUUAAAAUCGGAGACUGCUUUUAUUCGGCAAUUAAAUGCUUUAAUUUUCUUAUCUUAUCAUACGGAAUUCUAUGAUUAUAUUUUUUAAAUCUCACAGAAACAUAUGAUUCCUGAAUCGCCUGCUUAUCUUAAUGAGUAUUAUUAUCAUCUAUCUAGAUCCAACAAUUUUGUCAAAUUUGAGGAAAUAGAAGUAUUAUGAUAACGUAUCUCUUUUAUAAUCUUUUCUAUGUAUGUAAAUAUAAUUAUAAUAAAAUUUUAAUGCAUUUCUGCUACCUUGAUAAAACAGUACAUAAAUUAGUUUAUUUACUUUUCUCAAUGAUGCGAUUAUGUAACUGCUAUAGAUUACUUUACUGUUCGGUCUUUCAUGAAUUAAACAACCGAAUAUUACAAAACGCAAACACGUUUCCGCGGCAAAACGAAGCUAUACAUACGCUUAAGCCCGGAUACACGCAACCACUUUCGGAUAAUUCAAUAAUCCAGCGUAUUGGCAGGAUAACAGGUCCGUGCGUGUUAUCGUAUCGGCGCUGCAACUUGAUUACGUCUCAUAAUAAAUUGAAACCCUCAUUUCUAGGAAAGAAAGAGCGACGGUAUCUGUAAUUUUUGCCCACAAGUAAGAAAUCAAUACUCUGAUACGGUUAUAAAUCCACAAGAUGGCGACAGAACGCGCGUAUCGUGUUUGAUCUUUCGCGCUCGAAAGAGGACAGGGUGGCCGAAGAGGUAAAUCGUUUCGAAGAACAAAUAAAAACGCGAGAUCGUCGCGCACGCCGAUAGAUAGCUUAUCUUCGAUGCCGUAAAAGAUCCAGGAAUGUAACGCGGCACGGAUUCAAUUUUACCACAAACGGCCGCGAUUCCGUGAAAUUACCGUCCCGAAUUCGAAAGAGCGGAACUCAAUCGCGUAAGAAAAAAAAAAGUUCGUUGAAUUGAAUUUCGAACUGGAAAUUAACCCUGUAAAACGGCGAAGAAAAUAAAGAAAAAAUUCUUGUUCUCACCUUUUGUUCCUGUAAUUUAAGAUUGGCUAAUUUAGGACAGGUCAGUGGGAAAAUGAAACGUACUCGCGGAUCUUAAUAAUACACAAAUUUUAUUUUAUUCAUUUUUUUUUUCUUCCCGCAGAAUCGAGGAAAUCAUUUGUUGAGAGAACAAAACCACUGCAAUACGAAUAGCAGUUACAAGUAAAUAUGUACAAUAAUAUAAGUGGUUGCCUUUCUUUCUUUAUUUUUUUUUUUUUUUGUGUUUUUGCUUUAUCAUCGGUUUCCUGUUUUCUCUGUUUUGUGGUUUAUUACUCCUACUUUCGCACUGUUAAUGAUAAUUGAUAAUGAUAAUCAAUUAAUUAAUUAAGAAUAAUAAUGAUAAUAAUUAUAAGAAUCGUACUGAAUCAUCAUACAUCCACCCGGUAAAUAGAGGUUCAAUCGUAGGCAUACCAAUCGACCAUUAUCGAAUCAUGACAAUAUUGACAAAUUGACAGAAUGUGCCUUUUUUAAGCUAGCUUCGCAUUCCACCCGUUCACUCUCCCUCUUUCUCUCUCUCUCUCUCUCUCUCUCUCUCUCUCUGUCAUUCUUUCUCUCUCUCCCUAAUUCACCCCUAUUUCUCCUCAGUACAACUUCUCCAUUUAUUAUCUCUCUUAUAUCACCCGCUUUUCGUUACUGUUCUGCUAAUUCCCUUUCCUGCUUCGUUACACGUUAAUUUCGUCCAGCUCGCAUUUCAGUUCGUGCGUAAUUUUUCGACAUACACCCCGCAACACGCAGCAAAAUCUUACACUCUCUCUCCUACUCGCAUUCUCUCUCACUCUACGUAAAUGUUUCUCCUGAUAUUUCAUAGUGUAUCUUUCGUAUGCUUUCUAACUCCCCGCCCAAUCUCUUUCUCAACCGCUACUUCGUCCUUUCUUCGUCGCUUCUAUCAUCCUCUGUUUAUCCUCAACGUUCGCGCGACGCAAUCAAAAAUUUCGACGUUCGCUACGAUUCCGCCUCUCCACGCCCCUUCUUCGUCGGCUCUCUCAUUUUUUCUUUCGUCAGUUCCCUAAGAUUAAGUCCACUAAGCAUCCCCUACCAUUGAUUAAAUGCUCGUCGCGACGAGAGAGGGCCGAACGUGGCUUUUCCCGAGGACCGUGCUCUUCCACCAUCGUUUACUCGCUUUUCGUCUCCCUAUAAACGUUCCACUGUUCCCCUGCUCUCUUCCCUCAACCCUUUUGUCCGUUCCUCUUGCACACGCACGCACGCGCCACAUCUCCCUCUCAUUCUUUCGUUCGAUCCGCACCGCACCUUUCCACGAAAAUUCUCGUCGAUCUCUCGCGUGGGCUAUAUCCUCUUCCGUUCAACCUCCCGCGCACCUGUCCUUUGCCCGUGUUUCUCUCUCCCCCCUGUACCCACCCCUGUACACCCCUGUUUCUCCCAGCGCUCAAGCCGUUUCGUCGGUUUAAAUCCCCUUCGUGUGCUCACCCUCUCGAGGAUCGUCCUUGCCUGGUCUACGCGGCUCUCGUCGCCUCCUUUCCUCCCUGUGCCCGUCGCACCCCCCCCGUUUUCCUUUGCUCCCCUUGCCUGGCCAGAGAGACGUUUUUUGUUCGUGGCAGUUUUACGUGGCUCAACAACGACCGAGAAAAGGACCGCACUUUUCGUCUGAAGGAGUAUCGCCACGCGGCAAUUGCGCGAUUGCAACGUCGGCACCGUGAAACCUACGCUUUUACCAUCCACUCUCUUUCCCUCGUUUCCGGUUACCCUGUGUGCUCGUAUCAUCGUUUCCUCGUCAGCGUCGAAGUUUCUCGUGACGAGCUCCGGCUCGAAUUCAAAGUACCUGCGUUGUCGGUUCGUUCGCGUCACCAAGCGAGCAGACCAAGUGUACCGGCACGUUAGAACCGUUUCUUGCCUCGUUAGAGUAUUCAGAAACGACGCUGUCGAUAUGGCUGGUUACUCUUUGGUGACAAAGGUCGCUCUUAGGUUACCUUGUUCGCGUGUAUUGAGAGAGAUCUUUGGGAUCUCUGGUUGUCAAGAACUAUGUUCGAGUUUGGGAUAUACGUAUAUAUUAAGAUCUUGGAAAUUUCGAGCUGAAAGGAACCGAUGAUUAUUCUAAACGAAGGGGUUCGAUCGUUCGACGUAAGGAAAAAUCGACGUUACGCGAGUGCAUGGACGAUCCUCGAGUUACAAAUCAGGUCGAUGUACAGACAUCACCACAGGGUCGAGCGCAACAGGAGACAACACUCACGCUCUCUCCUUCACUCCGUUAUUCUUCGUGUAUUUUUUUUUUCCUUUAUUCGAAAUGUCUUUUGUUGUUUUUUGUCUGUUUCAUUGUAACAUUUUUUUACUUUUUUGGUAUCUUGUUUUCUCUGAAAAAGAAAUGCCCAUUUCGCACAUAACGAACACGUUAACGGCGACGUGUGUUGGGUCAUUAAAAAGGUUCUGGUCUCGAUCCCCUUUUUUCAUUUUUUGUUCUUUUUCGUUUAUCCCUCCUCUGUCAUCGUUACUCUUCCUUCCGCCGACGAUCUCCGUCGUAUUUUCGAUUUUCUUGUUUUUUAUUUUUUUGUCGUUAAAUAGUAAUCAUCUAAACAAUGAAAGCGGCAAAACGUCUCGAGGAAAAAGGUGUCCCUGAGCGCGACGGAGGGAGACGACGACGACACAAUGCUUCUUUGGGAGGGAGAAAAAAAGACCGUUCGUCGCCCUUCGUCGUCUUCGUCCCUUUUACGCCCACGAUUAUUUAGUCGCACCUGCACAGGACUGCGUGACACGUCCAGCGUACAAGUACAAAGGAUUAACUACAAUACGCUCGAUGAUUCCGGUUAUGAUGAUUUCUUUCGUUAUUUCUUUUUUUCUAUUUUUUCGCAGCUUGUUACUUGUUUCGUAUCCUAUCGUUCAUUUUCGUUCUUACUCUUCUUUUUGUUUAAUUUCGUUUCUGGUUCUUUCUUUUAUCUUUUAUCCAUUAGCUUUGUUUAUUUAUUGGUCGGGAGUAAUUAUAAUUAUAUCGUACGCAAACAUGAGAUAUCUCUGGACGGGUCGGAUCUGUCCUGUGCAGAUAUUCGUAAAAAGAGGGACGCUCUUCUCAAAAAGUUGCAUCAUUUGUGAAAUCGCAUCAACUAAGUUCCUAUGUUCUUUAAAUCCUUAUUACAAGUACGGUAGUAAUAAUAGUAGAAGUAAUAGCAGCAGCAGCAGUAGUAGUAGUAGUAGUAGUAGUAGUAGUAGUAGUAGCAUAGUAGUAGUAGUAGUAGUAGUAGUAGUAGUAGUAGUAGUAGUAGUAGUAGUAGAGUAGUAGUAGUAGUAGUAGUAGUAGAGUAGUAGUAGUAGUAGUAGUAGUAGUAGUAGUAUUAAUAGUAGGUUUUUCUUCACUUUUUUUUAUUCGUUUUUAUGUUUAAGCAUUUUUUUAUCCUUUAGUUUUUCUGGUUCUGAUAAUCUAAUAGACAUCUAAAAAUAACACCCAUUUUUUUCAUUAUUAUUUCAUAUUUGUAUUUUUCCUCCUUAUCUCAUCUCUUUUUUUAUUUUUAUUCUUAGUUAUCGAUCAAGUAUUACUUAAAGAUUCCUUAAACGUUAGAUUGAGGGCCGCGCAACACGUACAGUGAGCUCAAGCGUUUCGCGAUUUAAUUCGCUGAUUUCCUUCUUUUUUUAGGAGGGGAGAGGGGAGGCGGGGCGUGUGUGUGUGUGUGUAUAUGUAUGUGUUUAUGCGAGAAAAGAUCACCCAGUCACCUCGAUGAUUUUCGUUCGAUCCUCAUCUUCAUCGAUCCCGGAUUAAUCGAUCGAUCGUGUCAGGUGUCACGUGUACGAAAUUUCGUACGAUCCGAUUAAAUCGUAUGACACGUGUCGCUAAUUAUUUAUAACGCACGAAUCCGGCAAGAAUUCGAACGAAUCGCUCGAAACGACACCGAGGUGAGAUCGAAUAAAAGUUCGCGACACCCUUGAGCUCAGAAUGAACCGCAGCUUUUGCAUAUCGUCGUUUGAAUUAUACAUCUUACAUAUAUUUCUAGCGGCUGGAGUAACAAGUUUGUUGCAUUAUUUCUUGUCGUUCGUUUCGUCAGUUCAAUACUGCAUCAAUUCAUAUUGCUGCUGUUGUGAUCUGUGCCCAAACCGUCAUUCGCGAUAAACCAUUCACGCUAAUUACGCUACGCUCCACCGCCCUAACUUUGUCUCUAUAUCCCUUUCAUAGCAAUCUACGUUCCUCACAUACGCGCCUGAGGCAAUUCUUCCUAUACGUUGGUGCAUCGAUCUUUCUUGUUACGACCUCCCGCCCCCUCGUUCCAACCGCCAACCCUCUCUUGAAAACUCGAAAAUUUCCUCCACCAUCUCUGUUCUUUCUCUCUUUGCCCUUUCUCCCUCUAGCAUUGAUCCUCCCCGGUUUCUCUGCUUCCCGUAUUUCCCCUCUCUCGUGUUAAUUUUAAUAUCACAUUUUCUUGGGAACAGACUGGCCCGAUAUAUCUUUGAAACAGAAUCUGGUGAUCGCUGGCUAUUUCAAUCAAUGUUCUGCUUUUUCUUCGUUUUCUUAUCUUCCUUCUUUUGGUGCCAGGCGUUCGACGUUGUAACGAUCGAAAUUAGAUGGCGAACAGUUGACUGCAAGCUUCAUAGAUUUGUUAAUUUGCAAAUUCAUGGUACGUAAUAUUUAACGCUAACUUUGGUGGAAUUAUUGAAGAACGAGGAAUAUAGUUCGGAAAAUAAUUAUAAAGCUGAAGCUCAAGGAUGAUUUAGAAACACGCGAGCGUCACGUUCAGUUAUCAGGAAAUCAACAUCGAUGAAACAUCGUCGACACAUUGUCGGUUAUGCCCAUUUCGUGAUUCUUGUCUUUCUUGGUUUUUCUCUGAUUUUCAUCGAUUUUGACGGGUAAAAAUAAAUCACAAUACAUCGGGCGAGUACGUCCCAGUUUAAUAUAUAGAAUACAUACAUCUUUAUCUCGCUACAAGGUACUACGAACCCAGAUCAAAAAACGAUAAGAUCCAUCGUUUUUCUUCAUUUUUUUUUCUUUUUUGUGUUUUUUAUUUUGUUUUCUUAUUUAUUUCAUGUGUAUGUGUGUUUCUUCGUAAGAGAUAUUUUACGGCACGUACAACGACUGGAUGGCAACGACGAAACGAAAAUAAAAGUUCACGAACGCGUGGAAAGACUGUGAGAAAAAAUAAGUGGAAAAGAGUAUAAUUAGAGAAGGAAACAAAAAAAAAAGAAAGAAAGAAAUAAAAUAAAAAGAGAAAAGAAAAAAA
Molecule: long non-coding RNA, 8313 nt
Organism: Bombus huntii
Lineage: Eukaryota; Metazoa; Arthropoda; Insecta; Hymenoptera; Apidae
Exons: 2
Source: RefSeq, a predicted model, not a curated record